This 506-nucleotide ribosomal RNA is filed under the name uncultured bacterium. RNAcentral describes it as "partial 16S ribosomal RNA". It matches the Rfam family "Bacterial small subunit ribosomal RNA", at positions 29 to 523 of the family's 1533-position model. The record is from RNAcentral.
AGUGAACGCUGGCGGUAGGCCUAACACAUGCAAGUCGAACGGCAGCACAGGAGAGCUUGCUCUCUGGGUGGCGAGUGGCGGACGGGUGAGGAAUACAUCGGAAUCUACUCUGUCGUGGGGGAUAACGUAGGGAAACUUACGCUAAUACCGCAUACGACCUACGGGUGAAAGCAGGGGAUCUUCGGACCUUGCGCGAUUGAAUGAGCAGAUGUCGGAUUAGCUAGUUGGCGGGGUAAAGGCCCACCAAGGCGACGAUCCGUAGCUGGUCUGAGAGGAUGAUCAGCCACACUGGAACUGAGACACGGUCCAGGCUCCUACGGGAGGCAGCAGUGGGGAAUAUUGGACAAUGGGCGCAAGCCUGAUCCAGCCAUACCGCGUGGGUGAAGAAGGCCUUCGGGUUGUAAAGCCCUUUUGUUGGGAAAGAAAUCCAGCUGGCUAAUACCCGGUUGGGAUGACGGUACCCAAAGAAUAAGCACCGGCUAACUUCGUGCCAGCAGCCGCCGUAA